UAAACUAGGAUUAGAUACCCUAUUAUUUUAAAUAUAAAUAAAAAUAAAACUAGAGUAGUAAUAGUUAAGAUCUUGAAACUCAAAGAAUCUGGCGGUGCUUUAGUCUAUUCAGAGGAAUCUGUCCCGUAAUCGAUAAUUCACGAUUAACUUUACUUAUUCUUGUUAUUCAAUUUGUAUACCGCCGUCAUCAGAAUAUUUUUUAAGAAAAUAAAUUUUCUAUACUUUUAAUUAAAUUAUAUGUCAGGUCAAGGUGCAGUUUAUGAAUAAGAGGAGAUGGAUUACAAUAAAUAUAUUUAUUAUGAAUAAAGAAUUGAAAAUGUUUUUUGAAGGUGGAUUUGAAAGUAAUUUUAUUUUAAUGGUAAAUUGAUUUUAGCUCUAAAGCAUGUACACAUCGCCCGUCGCUCUUAUA
RNAcentral lists this ribosomal RNA (409 nucleotides) under Dolichopoda remyi. Its description in RNAcentral is "partial 12S ribosomal RNA". Lineage: Eukaryota; Metazoa; Arthropoda; Insecta; Orthoptera; Rhaphidophoridae. The record is from RNAcentral.